UGAAGAGUUUGAUCAUGGCUCAGAUUGAACGCUGGCGGCAGGCCUAACACAUGCAAGUCGAACGGUAACAUUUCUAGCUUGCUAGAAGAUGACGAGUGGCGGACGGGUGAGUAAUGCUUGGGAACUUGCCUUUGCGAGGGGGAUAACAGUUGGAAACGACUGCUAAUACCGCAUAAUGUCUUCGGACCAAACGGGGCUUUUAGCUCCGGCGCAAAGAGAGGCCCAAGUGAGAUUAGCUAGUUGGUAAGGUAACGGCUUACCAAGGCGACGAUCUCUAGCUGUUCUGAGAGGAAGAUCAGCCACACUGGGACUGAGACACGGCCCAGACUCCUACGGGAGGCAGCAGUGGGGAAUAUUGCACAAUGGGGGAAACCCUGAUGCAGCCAUGCCGCGUGUGUGAAGAAGGCCUUCGGGUUGUAAAGCACUUUCAAUUGGGAAGAAAGGUCACGUGUUAAUAGCACGUGGCUGUGACAUUACCUUUAGAAGAAGCACCGGCUAACUCCGUGCCAGCAGCCGCGGUAAUACGGAGGGUGCGAGCGUUAAUCGGAAUUACUGGGCGUAAAGCGCGCGUAGGCGGUUUGUUAAGUCGGAUGUGAAAGCCCCGGGCUCAACCUGGGAAUUGCACCCGAUACUGGCCGACUGGAGUGCGAGAGAGGGAGGUAGAAUUCCACGUGUAGCGGUGAAAUGCGUAGAUAU
Molecule: ribosomal RNA, 696 nt
Filed under: Emiliania huxleyi
Lineage: Eukaryota; Haptophyta; Isochrysidales; Noelaerhabdaceae
Description: partial Bacterial small subunit ribosomal RNA
Rfam family: Bacterial small subunit ribosomal RNA
Source: RNAcentral